UAGUUGCCCUGGAGAAAGAAGCUGAAGAAUGGACCAGACGGGCUGAAGAAGCUGUUGUCUCUAUUCAAGAUAUCACAGUGAAUUAUUUUAAUUAGACAGUAAAAGCAUUAGCAGGAAUGCAAAAAGAAAUGGAACAGGAUGUGAAGAGAUUUGGCCAGGCUGCCUGGGCCACAGCAAUUCCCAGGUUGGAAAAACUUAAGCUAAUGCUAGCUC
Long non-coding RNA from Homo sapiens (human), 213 nucleotides. The record is from Ensembl. NCBI's taxonomy places the organism in Eukaryota, Metazoa, Chordata, Mammalia, Primates, Hominidae.